GGACUCUUCGGAGUUAGUGGCGGACGGGUGAGUAACGCGUGAGAAUCUGCCUACAGAUUGGGGACAACGUCGGGAAACUGACGCUAAUACCGAAUGUGCCGAGAGGUGAAAGAUUUAUCGUCUGUAGAUGAGCUCGCGUCUGAUUAGCUAGUUGGGGCGGUAACGGCGCACCAAGGCGACGAUCAGUAACUGGUCUGAGAGGAUGACCAGUCACACUGGGACUGAGACACGGCCCAGACUCCUACGGGAGGCAGCAGUGGGGAAUUUUCCGCAAUGGGCGAAAGCCUGACGGAGCAAUACCGCGUGCGGNAGGACGCUUUUUGGAGUGUAAACCGCUUUUCUCAAGGAAGAUGAUGACGGUACUUGAGGAAUCAGCAUCGGCUAACUUCGUGCCAGCAGCCGCGGUAAUACGAGGGAUGCAAGCGUUAUCCGGAAUUAUUGGGCGUAAAGCGUUCGUAGGUGGCAAAUUAAGUCUGUUGUUAAAACGUGGAGCUUAACUCCAUAUCGGCAAUGGAAACUGGUUAGCUAGAGUAUGGUAGGGGUAACAGGAAUUCCCAGUGUAGCGGUGAAAUGCGUAGAUAUUGGGAAGAACACCAGCGGCGAAAGCNUGUUACUGGGCCAUUACUGACACUGAGGGACGAAAGCUAGGGGAGCGAAAGGGAUUAGAUACCCUGGUAGUCC
RNAcentral lists this ribosomal RNA (681 nucleotides) under uncultured bacterium. Its description in RNAcentral is "bacterial SSU rRNA". It matches the Rfam family "Bacterial small subunit ribosomal RNA", at positions 72 to 796 of the family's 1533-position model. The record is from RNAcentral.